This 647-nucleotide ribosomal RNA is filed under the name uncultured archaeon. Its description in RNAcentral is "bacterial SSU rRNA". It matches the Rfam family "Archaeal small subunit ribosomal RNA", at positions 833 to 1478 of the family's 1478-position model. The record is from RNAcentral.
GAGUACGGCCGCAAGGCUGAAACUUAAAGGAGUUGGCGGGGGAGCACUACAACGGGUGGAGCCUGCGGUUUAAUUGGACUCAACGCCGGAAAACUCACCGGGGGCGACAGCAAUAUGUAGGUCAGGUUAAAGGUCUUACCUGAAUCGCUGAGAGGAGGUGCAUGGCCGUCGUCAGUUCGUACUGUGAAGCAUCCUGUUAAGUCAGGCAACGAGCAAGACCCGUGCCCACUGUUACCAGCAUAUCCUUUAUGGAUGAUGGGGACUCUGUGGGGACCGCUGCUGCUAAAGCAGAGGAAGGUGCGGGCUACGGUAGGUCAGUAUGCCCCGAAUCUCCCGGGCUACACGCGGGCUACAAUGGUUGGGACAAUGGGUAUCUACUCCGAAAGGAGUUGGCAAUCUCUUAAACCCAAUCGUAGUUCGAAUUGAGGGCUGUAACUCGCCCUCAUGAAGCUGGAAUCCGUAGUAAUCGCGUUUCAACAUAGCGCGGUGAAUCUGUCCCUGCUCCUUGCACACACCGCCCGUCAAACCAUCCGAGUGAGGUAUGGGUGAGGGCACGAACUUAGUGUCGUGCUCGAACCUAAAUUUCGCAAGGAGGGUUAAGUCGUAACAAGGUAGCCGUAGGGGAAUCUGCGGCUGGAUCACCUCCU